UACGAGAAAGGUCGAAAGAGGAAAUUCAUUCGCGUUUCAAUUGUUGGAGUUGAAUGAGUUGUGUGACGGAUGGUGUUUCGUACAUUGUCUGCGCCGUUUGUUCAUCGAACCGAUAUUGAACGCGUGCACUUUUCCUCUAGUAGGACGUUGCGAUCCGUUGAGUGUCUGUUUAAGACUUAAAGUGGAGACCAUGUGAUAUUUGAAUAAAUUUCAUUAUGGACCUUUGAUGUUCCGACAGACUCGCUCGACGGUAUAUUUGUUAGGCACAAGGCCGCUAAUUCUUUAAUUAGCGUUCGGCCCGUAGCAAGCACGUUCUGUUUUUGAUGGUGUGUCGGACCUAGUUUUGCCGAUUCCAUCUCAGAACGACUGUUGGUUGCGGUGUUCUCGAACAGACCUUGAUAUGAAAUGCCGAUCAGCAACGCUAUAGCUUUGGGUACUUUCAGGACCCGUCUUGAAACACGGACCAAGGAGUCUAGCAUGUGCGCAAGUCAUUGGGAUAUUAAUAAACCUAAAGGCGUAAUGAAAGUAAAGGUCUACCUUAUGUGUAGACCGAGGGAGGAUGAGUUGUUUGCCCAAAAAGUGGCGGCUCCGCACUCCCGGGGCGUCUCAUUCUCAUUGCGAGAAGAGGCGCACCAAGAGCGUACACGCUGGGACCCGAAAGAUGGUGAACUAUGCCUGGUCAGGACGAAGUCAGGGGAAACCCUGAUGGAGGUCCGUAGCGAUUCUGACGUGCAAAUCGAUCGUCGGAACUGGRW
RNAcentral lists this ribosomal RNA (755 nucleotides) under Scelidopsis sp. JJG225. Its description in RNAcentral is "eukaryotic LSU rRNA". It matches the Rfam family "Eukaryotic large subunit ribosomal RNA", at positions 386 to 916 of the family's 3401-position model. The record is from RNAcentral. Lineage: Eukaryota; Metazoa; Arthropoda; Insecta; Coleoptera; Chrysomelidae.